CCCCCGUGAGAGAGCUCCUCGCUAGAACGAGUAUCGACGUGAGAGGACGACUGGUGCAUACGGAUUAGUACCUCGUAGUCAGAGGUAACCGUGCAGACUUGGUGUUGGGGCCCUACGAGAGCGUUCAGUGCCGGAGAGAAGUUGUUAAGUCUGCUACUUGGGGAGUACGUCCGCAAGGAUGAAACUUAAAGGAAUUGGCGGGGGAGCACCGCAACGGGAGGAGCGUGCGGUUUAAUUGGAUUCAACACCGGAAAACUCACCAGCGGCGACUGUUACAUGAAAGUCAGGCCGAUGACCUUACUAGAUUAUCAGAGAGGUGGUGCAUGGCCGUCGUCAGUUCGUACCGUAAGGCGUUCACUUAAGUGAGAUUACGAACGAGACCCUCACCAAUAGUUGCUACCCAGUCCUCCGGGGCUGGGGCACACUAUUGAAUUCAUCGUUCAACAAAGUCAGAGGAAGGAGAGGUCAACGGUAGGUCAGUAUGCCCCGAAUCUGCUGGGCUACACGCGCGCUACAAAGGGCGGGACAAUGGGCUCCGACACCGAAAGGUGAAGGUAAUCCCGAAACCCGUCCGUAGUUCGGAUUGAGGGUUGUAACUCACCCAUCAUGAAGCUGGAUUCCAUAGAAACGGAACAACAACUCGCGGGAAUAACGACGGGCAGCACCCCCGAGGUACUUCAUCUCGACAGAGCUCGAAUCAC
This 701-nucleotide ribosomal RNA is filed under the name uncultured methanogenic archaeon. Its description in RNAcentral is "bacterial SSU rRNA". It matches the Rfam family "Archaeal small subunit ribosomal RNA", at positions 658 to 1478 of the family's 1478-position model. Lineage: Archaea; Methanobacteriati; Methanobacteriota. The record is from RNAcentral.